RNAcentral lists this transfer RNA (76 nucleotides) under Chloroflexota bacterium. RNAcentral's name for it is "Chloroflexi bacterium tRNA-Thr". It matches the Rfam family "tRNA". From Rfam's summary of the family: Transfer RNA (tRNA) molecules are approximately 80 nucleotides in length. Their secondary structure includes four short double-helical elements and three loops (D, anti-codon, and T loops). Further hydrogen bonds mediate the characteristic L-shaped molecular structure. tRNAs have two regions of fundamental functional importance: the anti-codon, which is responsible for specific mRNA codon recognition, and the 3' end, to which the tRNAs corresponding amino acid is attached (by aminoacyl-tRNA synthetases). tRNAs cope with the degeneracy of the genetic code in two manners: having more than one tRNA (with a specific anti-codon) for a particular amino acid; and 'wobble' base-pairing, i.e. permitting non-standard base-pairing at the 3rd anti-codon position. Lineage: Bacteria; Bacillati; Chloroflexota. RNAcentral also lists the same sequence under 2 other names. The record is from RNAcentral.
GCCGUUGUAGCUCAGUCGGUAGAGCAGCGCCCUCGUAAUGCGCAGGUCAUCGGUUCAAGUCCGAUCAACGGCUCCA